RNAcentral lists this ribosomal RNA (254 nucleotides) under uncultured bacterium. RNAcentral's name for it is "partial 16S ribosomal RNA". It matches the Rfam family "Bacterial small subunit ribosomal RNA", at positions 524 to 776 of the family's 1533-position model. The record is from RNAcentral.
UACGGGGGGAGCAAGCGUUGUUCGGAUUUACUGGGCGUAAAGGGCGCGUAGGCGGUCAGCACAAGUCAGUUGUGAAAUCUCCGGGCUUAACUCGGAAAGGUCAACUGAUACUGUGCGACUAGAGUGCAGAAGGGGCAACUGGAAUUCUCGGUGUAGCGGUGAAAUGCGCAGAUAUCAGGAGGAACACCGGUGGCGAAGGCGGGUCUCUGGGCCGAUACUGACGCUGAGGAGCGAAAGCGUGGGGAGCAAACAGG